UAAGACGAAGGUGGCGAGCGUUACUCGGAAUUACUAGGUGUAAAGCAUGGGCAGGCGGUUCGGUAAGUCUGUUGUGAAAUCUCCCGGCUUAACCGGGAGGGGUCAAUGGAUACUGCCGGGCUUGAAUGUGGGAGGGGUGACUGGAAUUCCUGGUGUAGCGGUGAAAUGCGUAGAUAUCAGGAGGAACACCAAUGGCGAAAGCAGGUCACUAGACCACUAUUGACGCUCAUCCAUGAAAGCUAGGGGAUCAAACAGGAUUAGAUACCCUGGUAGUCCUAGCUGUAAACGAUGCUCACUAGGUGUGGGAGGUAUCGACCCCUUCCGCGCCGACGCUAACGCAUUAAGUGAGCCACCUGGGGAGUACGGCCGCAAGGUUG
This 377-nucleotide ribosomal RNA is filed under the name uncultured bacterium. RNAcentral describes it as "bacterial SSU rRNA". It matches the Rfam family "Bacterial small subunit ribosomal RNA", at positions 521 to 896 of the family's 1533-position model. The record is from RNAcentral.